GACGAACGCUGGCGGCGUGCCUAAUACAUGCAAGUCGAACGCUUCUUUCCUCCCGAGUGCUUGCACUCAAUUGGAAAGAGGAGUGGCGGACGGGUGAGUAACACGUGGGUAACCUACCCAUCAGAGGGGGAUAACACUUGGAAACAGGUGCUAAUACCGCAUAACAGUUUAUGCCGCAUGGCAUAAGAGUGAAAGGCGCUUUCGGGUGUCGCUGAUGGAUGGACCCGCGGUGCAUUAGCUAGUUGGUGAGGUAACGGCUCACCAAGGCCACGAUGCAUAGCCGACCUGAGAGGGUGAUCGGCCACACUGGGACUGAGACACGGCCCAGACUCCUACGGGAGGCAGCAGUAGGGAAUCUUCGGCAAUGGACGAAAGUCCGACCGAGCAACGCCGCGUGAGUGAAGAAGGUUUUCGGAUCGUAAAACUCUGUUGUUAGAGAAGAACAAGGACGUUAGUAACUGAACGUCCCCUGACGGUAUCUAACCAGAAAGACACGGCUAACUACGUG
This 508-nucleotide ribosomal RNA is filed under the name uncultured bacterium. Its description in RNAcentral is "partial 16S ribosomal RNA". It matches the Rfam family "Bacterial small subunit ribosomal RNA", at positions 28 to 507 of the family's 1533-position model. The record is from RNAcentral.